CUCACCCUCACAUUAUAAUAUGACCAUUGUUCAUUUGCAGAAGAACUUUUGAAACAUGAGACGGUAGAUUUUCCUGCUACGAAAGAGGCUGUCAUCAUGCACAGGCUGCAAAUCGCUGUCACUCUUCUCCUAGAGACUGAUGACCUGACUGACAUAUGUCACUUCUGUGGAUCAGAAGGGCCUGAGGCAGAUUUGAGUUGGAUUCAGUGUGACAUUUGUUUGCGGUGGUUCCACCAUAUGUGCGUUCAAGGCCCACCAACGGAGGAGGCCUUCCUGUGUACUGCUUGUACUACUUAGUUUUGUGUACAUUAUUGUUCUGGAGGAAUUUAUGCAUUAAAUCUUGUGGUAUUACAUUACACCGUCCAAGUUUGUGUCUUCUUAUCUUAAAAUUAUUAUUUUUUGCU
Molecule: long non-coding RNA, 404 nt
Organism: Xyrauchen texanus (razorback sucker)
Lineage: Eukaryota; Metazoa; Chordata; Actinopteri; Cypriniformes; Catostomidae
Exons: 4
Source: RefSeq, a predicted model, not a curated record